RNAcentral lists this long non-coding RNA (219 nucleotides) under Sorghum bicolor (sorghum). Its description in RNAcentral is "long non-coding RNA (SBIC_LNC004715)". Lineage: Eukaryota; Viridiplantae; Streptophyta; Magnoliopsida; Poales; Poaceae. The record is from RNAcentral.
AAACAAGGGAGAUAUGAGGGAAUAAAAAGGGGCAAGUGCCCGGAACCUCGAAAUAAAAGAAAAAAGUGAGACGAGAGGUAAAAAUGGACAAGUGUCCGACAGUAGAAUUAGGGGUACAAGAUACCCACCUGAGAGGAAAGAAAAAGAAAAUACAGAGCAUCUCAAUCUCCUCACAAAGUUUCAAAAGAGCAAGGAAGGUAUGUAUCCCCUCAACAGAGC